RNAcentral lists this ribosomal RNA (479 nucleotides) under uncultured Gammaproteobacteria bacterium. RNAcentral describes it as "bacterial SSU rRNA". It matches the Rfam family "Bacterial small subunit ribosomal RNA", at positions 9 to 482 of the family's 1533-position model. The record is from RNAcentral. Lineage: Bacteria; Pseudomonadati; Pseudomonadota; Gammaproteobacteria. RNAcentral also lists the same sequence under 1 other name.
GAGUUUGAUCCUGGCUCAGAUUGAACGCUGGCGGCAGGCCUAACACAUGCAAGUCGAGCGGAUGAGAGGAGCUUGCUCCUUGAUUCAGCGGCGGACGGGUGAGUAAUGCCUAGGAAUCUGCCUGAUAGUGGGGGACAACGUUUCGAAAGGAACGCUAAUACCGCAUACGUCCUACGGGAGAAAGCAGGGGACCUUCGGGCCUUGCGCGUAUCAGAUGAGCCUAGGUCGGAUUAGCUAGUAGGUGGGGUAAUGGCUCACCUAGGCGACGAUCCGUAACUGGUCUGAGAGGAUGAUCAGUCACACUGGAACUGAGACACGGUCCAGACUCCUACGGGAGGCAGCAGUGGGGAAUAUUGGACAAUGGGCGAAAGCCUGAUCCAGCCAUGCCGCGUGUGUGAAGAAGGUCUUCGGAUUGUAAAGCACUUUAAGUUGGGAGGAAGGGCUGCAAGUUAAUACCUUGUAGUUUUGACGUUACCAAC